AGAGUUUGAUCCUGGCUCAGAACGAACGCUGGCGGCAUGCCUAACACAUGCAAGUCGAACGUGAUCCAUGACUUCGGUUGUGGUGAAAGUGGCAAACGGGUGAGUAACGCGUGGGAAUCUGCCCAGAGGUAGGGAAUAACCGCGGGAAACUGCGGCUAAUACCCUAUGUGCCCUACGGGGCAAAGAUUUAUCGCCUUUGGAGGAGCCCGCGUCGGAUUAGGUAGUUGGUAGGGUAACGGCCUACCAAGCCUACGAUCCGUAGCUGGUCUGAGAGGAUGAUCAGCCACACUGGGACUGAGAUACGGCCCAGACUCCUACGGGAGGCAGCAGUGGGGAAUAUUGGACAAUGGGGGCAACCCUGAUCCAGCAAUGCCGCGUGAGUGAUGAAGGCCUUCGGGUUGUAAAGCUCUUUCGGCGGGGAAGAUGAUGACGGUACCCGCAGAAGAAGCCCCGGCUAACUUCGUGCCAGCAGCCGCGGUAAUACGAAGGGGGCUAGCGUUGUUCGGAAUUACUGGGCGUAAAGGGCGCGUAGGCGGUGCUGUAAGUCAGGCGUGAAAUCCCCGGGCUCAACCUGGGAAUUGCGUUUGAUACUGCGGCGCUGGAAUGCGGGAGAGGAUGGCGGAAUUCCCAGUGUAGAGGUGAAAUUCGUAGAUAUUGGGAAGAACACCGGUGGCGAAGGCGGCCAUCUGGCCCGUAAUUGACGCUGAGGCGCGAAAGCGUGGGGAGCAAACAGGAUUAGAUACCCUGGUAGUCCACGCCGUAAACGAUGAGUGCUAGACGUCGGGGAGCUUGCUCUUCGGUGUCGCCGCUAACGCAUUAAGCACUCCGCCUGGGGAGUACGGUCGCAAGAUUAAAACUCAAAGGAAUUGACCG
RNAcentral lists this ribosomal RNA (873 nucleotides) under uncultured bacterium. RNAcentral's name for it is "bacterial SSU rRNA". It matches the Rfam family "Bacterial small subunit ribosomal RNA", at positions 8 to 916 of the family's 1533-position model. The record is from RNAcentral.